CGUUCUUUCUAUUUCGAAAAUCUCGUAAUUUGGGUGUAUGUAUGAUUGAACUAGAGGCUCUAAAGAGCCUGUGUCGCUCACCUUGGUCUAUGUGAAUAUUAAACAAAGGAAGAAGAUGCAUUCAUGACAAAAUUGUGUUUUGGUGAUGAUGAUGUGUUUGUACAUCUUACUUUACUGAACAUUCUUGCUGCUUACAAUUAUCUCUAUCUAUAAUGAACUUGGCCCAGUAGUUUCAGUAAAAAAUGUUAGUAAAAAUUUACAAAUUUUAUGAAAAUUGUUAUAAAUUGACUAUAAAGGACAAUAACUCCUUAGGGGGUCAAUUGACCAUUUUGGUCAUGUUGACUUAUUUUUAGGUCUUAUUUACAUUAUUGCUGUUUACAGUUUAUCUCUAUCUAAAAUAAUAUUCAAGAUAAUAACAGAAAACGGCAAAAUUUCCUUAAAAUUACCAAUUCAGAGGCAGCAACCCAAC
Molecule: long non-coding RNA, 469 nt
Filed under: Mytilus galloprovincialis (Mediterranean mussel)
Lineage: Eukaryota; Metazoa; Mollusca; Bivalvia; Mytilida; Mytilidae
Source: RNAcentral